ACACCACUCCUUUUACUCGGAUCGUCCGGCACGUUCCUGCCGGUGAAGGGACAUAUCA
Molecule: non-coding RNA, 58 nt
Organism: Streptomyces natalensis ATCC 27448
Lineage: Bacteria; Bacillati; Actinomycetota; Actinomycetes; Kitasatosporales; Streptomycetaceae
Source: Rfam